RNAcentral lists this long non-coding RNA (1399 nucleotides) under Rattus norvegicus (Norway rat). RNAcentral's name for it is "long non-coding RNA NONRATT015340". Lineage: Eukaryota; Metazoa; Chordata; Mammalia; Rodentia; Muridae. The record is from RNAcentral.
CGGACUGCCGGGCUGCUGCGGUCGUCGCGGCCCGGCUCGACGCAGCCGGGCUCUUUGGCCCCGCGCAGCGGCCCGCUCUCCAGCACCUCCCGGUACGUGAUGGCCUCCUUCUUCUCCUUCACUUUCUGGUCAAAAGACUUGGAGACGAACGCCAAAUGGGACGCCGGUCUUCAGACACUGAAGAAGAAAGCAGAAGCAAGAGGAAAAAGAAACACAGGAGGCGGUCAUCUUCAAGCAGCUCUUCAGACAGCAGGACGUACAGCCGCAAGAAGGGUGGGAGGAGGCCAAGGUCGGAGUCACGAUCCUGGUCUAGAGACCGCCAGCCUCGCUCACAUUCUUAUGAGAGAAGACGCAGGCGCAGGUCAAGCAGCAGCUCUUCUUAUGGCUCCAGAAGAAAACGCAGUCGCAGUCGUUCCAGGGGCCGAGGGAAGUCCUAUAGAGUUCAGAGGUCUCGGUCAAAAAGCAGAACAAGAAGGUCCAGGUCAAGACCUCGUCCACGCUCACAUAGUAGAAGCAGUGAAAGAUCCAGUCACAGAAGAACUCGUAGUAGGUCCAGGGACAGAGACAGACGUAAAGUUCGGGACAAAGAGAAGAGAGAAAAGGAGAAGGAUAAAGGCAAAGACAAAGAGGCGCACACCAUCAAACGCGGGUGAGUUGAUGGAAUAUGUUUUGUGCUUGAUUUUUAGCCUCCAGCUGAGCAGGCCAAAGCCAGACUUCAAUUGGUCCUUGAAGCUGCUGCAAAAGCUGAUGAAGCAUUAAAAGCCAAAGAAAGGAAUGAGGAAGAAGCAAAGAGAAGAAAAGAAGAAGACCAAGCCACCCUGGGAGAACAAGUAAAAAGAGUAAAAGAAAUCGAAGCAAUUGAAAGUGAUUCUUUUGUUCAGCAGACAUUCAGAUCAAGUAAAGAUGUCAAAAAGUCGGUAGAGCCGAGUGAGGUGAAGCAUGUGACUCCAGCCUCAGGACCAGCAUCAGUAGCUGCUGACCCACCCAGCACUGGAAAGGAAAUAGACCCUGACAGCAUCCCCACGGCUAUCAAGUACCAAGAUGACAAUUCUCUAGCUCAUCCAAAUUUAUUUUAUUGAAAAAGCUGAAGCUGAGGAAAAGUGGUUCAAGAGAUUGAUUGCUCUCCGACAAGAAAGAUUGAUGGGCAGUCCUGUGGCCUAAGCAGUAGACUUACGGUCGGAUUGACAGGAAGCUUGAAAACUUAGGUUUUAAAUACCAACAUUAACUUUUACUCUCAAAAAAUAGCUUAGCCAAUUACAUGAAAAAAGAAAACUCAUUUCUUCCCUCGUGUUCAACUAAAUAUUUGGUAACUUGAAUCAAACAUUGUGGAUAGUGAAUCUGUUAUAAACGUGCUGAGGCAUGAACAUAUUAUACUGUUAAUAAAGCAAAUAAUAAAAAU